RNAcentral lists this ribosomal RNA (497 nucleotides) under uncultured bacterium. RNAcentral's name for it is "partial 16S ribosomal RNA". It matches the Rfam family "Bacterial small subunit ribosomal RNA", at positions 28 to 507 of the family's 1533-position model. The record is from RNAcentral.
GAUGAACGCUGGCGGCGUGCCUAAUACAUGCAAGUCGAGCGAACAGACGAGGAGCUUGCUCCUCUGACGUUAGCGGCGGACGGGUGAGUAACACGUGGAUAACCUACCUAUAAGACUGGGAUAACUUCGGGAAACCGGGGCUAAUACCGGAUAAUAUAUUGAACCGCAUGGUUCAAUAGUGAAAGACGGUUUUGCUGUCACUUAUAGAUGGAUCCGCGCCGCAUUAGCUAGUUGGUAAGGUAACGGCUUACCAAGGCAACGAUGCGUAGCCGACCUGAGAGGGUGAUCGGCCACACUGGAACUGAGACACGGUCCAGACUCCUACGGGAGGCAGCAGUAGGGAAUCUUCCGCAAUGGGCGAAAGCCUGACGGAGCAACGCCGCGUGAGUGAUGAAGGUCUUCGGAUCGUAAAACUCUGUUAUUAGGGAAGAACAAAUGUGUAAGUAACUAUGCACGUCUUGACGGUACCUAAUCAGAAAGCCACGGCUAACUAUGUG